CGGCACGGGUGAGUAACACGUAUCCAACCUGCCGUCUACUCUUGGACAGCCUUCUGAAAGGAAGAUUAAUACAAGAUGGCAUCAUGAGUCCGCAUGUUCACAUGAUUAAAGGUGUUCCGGUAGACGAUGGGGAUGCGUUCCAUUAGAUAGUAGGCGGGGUAACGGCCCACCUAGUCUACGAUGGAUAGGGGUUCUGAGAGGAAGGUCCCCCACAUUGGAACUGAGACACGGUCCAA
RNAcentral lists this ribosomal RNA (236 nucleotides) under uncultured bacterium. RNAcentral's name for it is "partial 16S ribosomal RNA". It matches the Rfam family "Bacterial small subunit ribosomal RNA", at positions 100 to 334 of the family's 1533-position model. The record is from RNAcentral.